Molecule: long non-coding RNA, 2768 nt
Organism: Cercocebus atys (sooty mangabey)
Lineage: Eukaryota; Metazoa; Chordata; Mammalia; Primates; Cercopithecidae
Exons: 4
Source: RefSeq, a predicted model, not a curated record
CACAGCAAGUCGUUACUCGUCCUGAAUGCACAACAUUCUUUCUUUGAGUAAGAGGACAAACCUGGGUAGGGAUCUCUGUGAUCUUUUCUGCGUUGCCUGCAGACGUUCAUCUUUCUGAUUUGUUAGCUGAAGAUGAGGAUCUGGAGCAGGAGUUCGGAGUGCCAUUGUUCCACGGGCAGAAGUUCGGCAGAGACUAUGGAGUCUUGCUCUCGUCACCCAAGUUGGAUUGCAGCAGUGCCAUCUCAGCUUACUGCAACCUCUGCCUCCUGGGUUCAAGCUAUUCUCCUGUCUCGGCCUCCUGAGUAGCUGGGAUUACAGGUGCUCGCCAACACGCCAGAUAACUACAGGCUUGGGUUUGAGUCUUGACAUCGCCAUCCACCAGCUGUUCUUGGGUGGGCUGCCUCAAUCUGAGCUGGAGUUCUCCAACCUAUUCAGGGAACACAAUACCUUGUAGACUACUGGGAGGGUUAACAUGGACAUGUAUGAAACACCUGGUCAGAUGGCCAGUACACGGUGCACAGCAGAUACUCAAUAAUUCAAGUGCGACACUUUGCCAAGAAAUAAGACUGAAGCAUUCUACAUUUAACAGAUUGGACCCCUUGGAAACUGUGCCACCCAAAGCCAGCUUUCUCCUCCUUUAUUUUGUGAUACGGAAAACUGUGUCAUGUCCUGAGAGUUAUUCCUGCAUCCCCAGCUGGACUUGAUCCUGCCCACAACUCUCUCAUCCUGUCCGGCAUUGCUGCAGAGUGUCUCAAGGUUGAGAUUCCACAUGUGUGUCUUCACCCUCUGUUCACAGGCCGCACACCCAGUAAGGGAAAGUGAGGCAGACAGGCUGUGAACCUGGGGAUGCCACCAAAACCAGGUCACAGACCAAGUCACCCUUCAGACAGGCAGUAAAGAGUUGGCUCCACUGUGUGCCUUUCCUGCUGUGGGGCGCAAAUCCCAUGACCUUUGGAAAUACCCAACUUUGCAAAUUCAACUGUAAUAGAUAAUUUCCCUCUAAAAUGCAAUAAAGUAUGACUGAAAAUGUAACUGGCCUCCUCGCAUCAUUAAUGCUAUUAUGCAAAAGGAAUUAGGAAAUUUACAAGCUCUGAAAAUACAGUCCAACCAGAGCACUUGCCAGAGGCGUUCACAAUUCACUAUUGCUUGUUUGUGUGCACAUCUUGCCAUGCGACCACCCAAGCCAUAUGCUGGAAUCACGGCCCAUCUUAGGAGCUCAUUGUUCAGCUUUUCCGGAUGCUCUUCAUUCUGUCUAAACUGGAAUAUUACUAUAAGUUUAGAGUAGAAAAAUGUGAUUAUUUUAUAAUAAUGAGCUCAAUCGUCUCAUCGUUGUCCAGUGGCUUCAUGGCCCCGGGAGCGGCACAGGGACGGGGUGCAGGAGAAGCACUGACGGCUGUCACACCUCCCAUGCAGAUGGGCUUCACGGUUCUCCAGAAACCUCUUCUCUCCCAGACUUUCGGGAUAAAGCACCUUCUGGGCUCAUGUAGGGCCCUGCACUUUCACUCUGGGGGCCCUGACAAAUACAAACAGAAUUCAGGCCAAGCCUACUGCUGUUAGAAAACAUAUUUAGAAAUCACUUGGAUCUUCCCUGCCUGAACAUCAUAUAUUUAGUUACCUUGUGUGUUUAGAUGAAGAGUGCUUCAGAUCUCCAAAAAAAAAAGGAUUUUAUUUGAAAGCUUGUUUUCUGCUUAUUUACAGUAUUAAUUUAGAGUCCGGGGGAAUCUCUAAAUUUGCCUCUAGAAACCACAUAAUCACCUAAUAAUACCUUUCCUGACUCUACUUUCUGACACAAGUGACUUUUGAAACACUUCCAUCUUCCCUUUCUAUUUCAUGUGCUGCACUCCACUCUUUUUCCCUUACUUUUUUUUUACAGUCCGUCAUGGAGUAUUUGUUUACCAAAUGUUACUUUUCUUGGAUCCAAUCUAUUUUUGAAGAGUGCAAAAGCAAACAACUGUUUGAAGAUGUCAAGCUUCAUUUUAUUUAUGCAUGAAUAACACAAAUAACUUGAAAAUGACCUAGUCUGUUUUUCUCAGAUUUAGAUAGAAAAACUGCUUCCGGCCAAUGUUUAUGCCAAUUUGUUCAUGCCAAGUUUCCAGUUUCGGUGCCAACUGGUUUUUACGGCCAAGUUGUAAACCUUCGGUAAACAUGGCUUAUAAUGAAAAGUGCAACACAGCCUGAACCCUGGCACCAGGGGACGGAUGUAAAUUUAUUCUAAGAACAAAAUUCUAACAGGAACAGAAGGGGAGCUAGGCUGGCUACAAAGUGUUCCCACCAUAAUAUGGAAAGCAUACAGAUGAUGAUAAAUUUGAUUACUAAGAACCCAUUAGGCCCACUUAGGCACUUUAUGUAUUUCUUUUGCUCUGGAUGCUGAGUCGUUUCAUGCUCAGUUUGAAGUGACUGGCUCAUUGUCUCAGGGUGGUUCUAGAACUUUGCCUUCAGGUGGGGCUGGGGAGGGAGCCCUGGCAUUUCAAGACAGGUGGAGGUGAUAUGGUUGGGCUCUGUGUCCCCACCCAAAUCUCAUGUUGAAAUGUAAUCCCCAAUGCUGGAGGUGGGCCUGGUGGGAGGUGACGGGGUCAUGGGAUGGCUUCUUAUGGUCUAACACCACCCGCUGGGUGCUGUCAUCCCUGUCGUGAAUUCUUGUGGAGGUGGUUUCUUGUGGUUUAACACCAUCCCCCUCGGUGCUGUCAUCCCUGUUGUGAGUUCUUGUGAGAUCUGGUUGUUUAAAAAUGUGUGGUACCUCCCCCGUUGCUCUCUCUUCCUCCUGCUCC